This 296-nucleotide ribosomal RNA is filed under the name uncultured bacterium. RNAcentral's name for it is "partial 16S ribosomal RNA". It matches the Rfam family "Bacterial small subunit ribosomal RNA", at positions 193 to 507 of the family's 1533-position model. The record is from RNAcentral.
UCUUCGGAUUAAAGCUUCGGCGGUUUGGGAAGAGCCCGCGUAAGGAUUAGCUAGUUGGUGAGGUAAUGGCUCACCAAGGCGACGAUCUUUAACUGGUUUGAGAGGAUGAUCAGUCACACUGGAAUUGAGACACGGUCCAGACUCCUACGGGAGGCAGCAGUGAGGAAUUUUCCACAAUGGGGCGAAAGCCUGAUGGAGCAACGCCGCGUGCAGGAUGAAGGCUUUAGGGUUGUAAACUGCUUUUAUAUGUGACGAAUAUGACGGUAGCAUAUGAAUAAGGAUCGGCUAACUCCGUG